Molecule: ribosomal RNA, 462 nt
Filed under: uncultured bacterium
Lineage: Bacteria
Description: partial 16S ribosomal RNA
Rfam family: Bacterial small subunit ribosomal RNA
Source: RNAcentral
GACGAACGCUGGCGGCGUGCUUAACACAUGCAAGUCGAACGGUGAAGCCCUUCGCGGUGGAUCAGUGGCGGACGGGUGAGUAACACGUGAGCAACCUGCCCCUGGCUCUGGGACAACCACUGGAAAAGGUGGCUAAUACCUGGUUAGACCCGGAUCGGCUUCGUGUGUGGGUGGAUAGGUGUUCGGCAGGGGCUGGGCCCGUGGCCGAUCAGCUUGUUGGUGAGGUGAAGGUUCACGAAGGCGUGGACGGGUAGCCGGCCUGAGAGGGCGACCGGCCACACUGGGACUGAGACACGGCCCAGACUCCUACGGGAGGCAGCAGUGGGGAAUAUUGCACAGUGGGCGAGAGCCUGAUGCAGCGACGCCGCGUGGGUGGUGACGGCCUUCGGGUUGUAAACCUCUUUCGGCUCGGAAGAAGCGAAAGUGACGGUAGGUGCAGAAGAAGCGCCGGCUAACUACGUG